AAGACUAUAGACCUGCGGAGUACCUGCGGAAGGAUCAUUACAGGACUCGCAAGACUCCUUAAACCCCUGUGAACUUACUGUUUAUACGUUGCUUCGGCGGGUGCUCCGGGGUCCGCCCCGGGGCGCUGCGCCCGCCGGCAGCCUACUUAAUUCUGUUUCUCUGCGUUGGCAUCUCGAGUAAGCAAAAUAAGUUAAAACUUUCAACAAUGGAUCUCU
This 216-nucleotide unclassified non-coding RNA is filed under the name soil metagenome. Its description in RNAcentral is "partial contains 5.8S ribosomal RNA, internal transcribed spacer 2, and large subunit ribosomal RNA". The record is from RNAcentral.